Molecule: ribosomal RNA, 468 nt
Filed under: uncultured bacterium
Lineage: Bacteria
Description: partial 16S ribosomal RNA
Rfam family: Bacterial small subunit ribosomal RNA
Source: RNAcentral
GACGAACGCUGGCGGCGUGCUUAACACAUGCAAGUCGAACGGAAAGGCCCUGCUUUUGUGGGGUACUCGAGUGGCGAACGGGUGAGUAACACGUGAGUAACCUGCCCUUGACUUUGGGAUAACUUCAGGAAACUGGGGCUAAUACCGGAUAGGAGCUCCUGCUGCAUGGUGGGGGUUGGAAAGUUUCGGCGGUUGGGGAUGGACUCGCGGCUUAUCAGCUUGUUGGUGGGGUAGUGGCUUACCAAGGCUUUGACGGGUAGCCGGCCUGAGAGGGUGACCGGCAAAAUUGGGACUGAGAUACGGCCAAGACUCCUACGGGAGGCAGAAGUGGGGAAUAUUGAAAAAGGGGCGGAAGCCUGAUGCAGCAACGCCGCGUGCGGGAUGACGGCCUUCGGGUUGUAAACCGCUUUCGCCUGUGACGAAGCGUGAGUGACGGUAAUGGGUAAAGAAGCACCGGCUAACUACGUG